UAGUUUCAACCACAUCACAUUUAUUAUUUAGAUGAAGAAAAACACAAAACUUUCUCGUUCAUGAUUGUGCCUCCUCUCUUUCUAUUGAAGCCGCCAAAUCCUAACUACUAAUCAACAACACCUACCAUGAGCCACAAAUCUGUAUCCACUAAGGGAGUUUUCAAAGCCUUGUUGUGAUUCCCUCCUGACUUUGGUUGAGGGCUGCUAGUCCUAGCUUGCACAGGAAUAGGAUUUGUGUGUUCCUCCAAUCUUGGACUGAUCCUCAAAUUCCCUACUAGUUUUCCUUUGGAGUUGAGGAGUUGAAUCGUAGUGGUAUAAGGUAGAGGGUCCACUAUGUCAAUCCUCCCAUGGCCAUAGACAUUGCCCAACAUGUCUUCAAGCUCAAACAACAAAUAUUCCACAGCUUCUAUGGCCAAAUUGUACUCAAAUGAAAAUGUGUCCUCCCAUGCACCUCGGGUUAAUUAUCCAAGAUCUGCUUGGCGUACCUCGUGUAAUGUUGUUGAGUUUUUCUGGCUCCAUCGCAUCUGUACACUACGACAAUUGGCUUGAUUCUGAAAAUACUGUUGAUAAGGCUGAGUAUGCGACACGAGUGGAUGGUGCAGAUCAGAGUCUUGGAUGUAGCAGCCAUCUAUCUACACCAAAAUUCAAAUUCAGGCGUUAAUUCAUGAAUACAAACACCAAUGGAAACGUAAACAAAUCCAUAACUUAACCAACAAAAAAAGAUCCAAGAGGAACUCGAAAACUAUACAUUGAAAUAACAUCAAAACCUAAAUUCACGGAUUACGUUUCAAAAUAAAACCUAUUUUCAUCGCAUAGGUAAAUUGCUCUAUCGAUGUUAAUCCCUAAGUCGACUGAUCGUGUCGUGAUCACAGAACGCAAAUGCUAUCUAAACGGGAAAAAUAAAUCAUGUAAACGAAUAACCAAAUCCUUCAACAUCAAACAGUGACAUCUAGUUCCCGUGUUUAAGUAAAUGGCAUAACUAUGGUAAUUAGGAACUUUGUGUCAUUAAAUGUUCAAAAGGUCAUAACUACCAUCAUCAAUAUAUGAUAAUUUGUCGUGAUGAAAUAAAUUCCUGAACUUAUGAAUUUUUUAUAAUACAAAAAUUGGAAGUAAAAUCUUUUACUUGUGUGCAGUAAAAGAAAAAUACGUUUGUUCGUAAUAUGUUUGCUUCUACAGUUUGAGAGUUAAAAACUAUUGUUUUGGCGGGUGAUUCGUUUUAUGCUACUGGUAGGAAACCUAAAAAAAAGGAUACCACAGUGUACUGCAUAACGUGUGUAUAAGGUUUGCGUGUUUAAGAGGAAAUCAAAGAAAAGCAAUUGAUCGGUUCCUUCCAAAUCAAAGCAGCAAAAUUAAUAUAACUCUAAGACUACACAAAGUAAAAAAUUACAUGGAAUGCAGGAGUAAUUAAUGGAGAAAACCUAUAGGCUAUACGUUGAUGCAAGAAGAUACAAAAAUCCAAGAAAUUCAUCAACUCAUACAAAGAAGAUAUAAAGAAAGAAGAAGAAAAAGAACAAACAAGGGAUAAAGGGAAAGUUUACUUGAUACGUUGAUGCCGGAGUGAUCGGGAAUAUGUUAUGGAGAAAACUUUGGACAGAAGGAGUACGAUGAUGAUGGAGGCUACGUUUUUU
RNAcentral lists this long non-coding RNA (1628 nucleotides) under Lactuca sativa (garden lettuce). RNAcentral describes it as "long non-coding RNA (LSAT_LNC001950)". The record is from RNAcentral. Lineage: Eukaryota; Viridiplantae; Streptophyta; Magnoliopsida; Asterales; Asteraceae.